This 468-nucleotide ribosomal RNA is filed under the name uncultured bacterium. RNAcentral's name for it is "partial 16S ribosomal RNA". It matches the Rfam family "Bacterial small subunit ribosomal RNA", at positions 28 to 507 of the family's 1533-position model. The record is from RNAcentral.
GACGAACGCUGGCGGCGUGCUUAACACAUGCAAGUCGAACGGAAAGGCCCUGCUUUUGUGGGGUGCUCGAGUGGCGAACGGGUGAGUAACACGUGAGUAACCUGCCCUUGACUUUGGGAUAACUUCAGGAAACUGGGGCUAAUACCGGAUAGGAGCUCCUGCUGCAUGGUGGGGGUUGGAAAGUUUCGGCGGUUGGGGAUGGACUCGCGGCUUAUCAGCUUGUUGGUGGGGUAGUGGCUUACCAAGGCUUUGACGGGUAGCCGGCCUGAGAGGGUGACCGGCCACAUUGGGACUGAGAUACGGCCCAGACUCCUACGGGAGGCAGCAGUGAGGAAUAUUGCACAAUGGGCGGAAGCCUGAUGCAGCAACGCCGCGUGCGGGAUGACGGCCUUCGGGUUGUAAACCGCUUUCGCCUGCGACGAAGCGUGAGUGACGGUAAUGGGUAAAGAAGCACCGGCUAACUACGUG